RNAcentral lists this ribosomal RNA (335 nucleotides) under uncultured bacterium. RNAcentral describes it as "bacterial SSU rRNA". It matches the Rfam family "Bacterial small subunit ribosomal RNA", at positions 29 to 346 of the family's 1533-position model. The record is from RNAcentral.
AACGAACGCUGGCGGCGUGCCUAACACAUGCAAGUCGUGCGAGAAAGUUCCUUCGGGAGCGAGUAAAGCGGCGCACGGGUGAGUAACACGUAGGUAACCUGCCCCCCAGUCUGGAACAACUAGAGGAAACUCUAGCUAAUGCCGGAUGAGACCACGAUCCCUUCGGGGUUGCGGCCAAAGAUGGCCUCUACUUGUAAGCUAUCGCUGAGGGAUGGGCCUGCGGGCCAUUAGCUUGUUGGUGAGGUAACGGCUCACCAAGGCUGUGAUGGCUAGCUGGUCUGAGAGGAUGGAACCAGCCACACUGGGACUGAGACACGGCCCAGACUCCUACGGGA